GACGUUUCAACUUCUAGAUAGGUUUUCCGUAAUUGUCACUUCUUUCACAUCUCAUUGUAACAAAUUUCGUUCUUCUAUCACAACCAAAACCUAGCCUCCCAAUUACAAUAUCGAACCUCAAUUUUGUAGCCUUAGUGCGGAUCUAUUGGAGCAUAUGUUCACAAACAGCAAACUCCUAUUUCUUUGAAAAUUAUUUACCAACAUC
This 205-nucleotide long non-coding RNA is filed under the name Lathyrus oleraceus (garden pea). RNAcentral's name for it is "Pisum sativum (pea) long non-coding RNA (PSAT_LNC018445)". The record is from RNAcentral. Lineage: Eukaryota; Viridiplantae; Streptophyta; Magnoliopsida; Fabales; Fabaceae.